RNAcentral lists this ribosomal RNA (449 nucleotides) under uncultured bacterium. RNAcentral describes it as "partial 16S ribosomal RNA". It matches the Rfam family "Bacterial small subunit ribosomal RNA", at positions 29 to 523 of the family's 1533-position model. The record is from RNAcentral.
AGCGAACGCUGGCGGCAGGCCUAACACAUGCAAAUCGAGCGCCGUAGCAAUACGGAGCGGCAGACGGGAGAGUAACACGUGGGAACGUACCCUUUGGUUCGGAACAACCCAGGGAAACUUGGGCUAAUACCGAAUACGCCCUCACGGGGAAAGAUAUAUCGCCGAAGGAUCGGCCCGCGUCUGAUUAGCUAGUUGGUGGGGUAAUGGCCCACCAAGGCGACGAUCAGUAGCUGGUCUGAGAGGAUGAUCAGCCUCACCGGGACUGAGACACGGCCCAGACUCCUACGGGAGGCAGCAGUGGGGAAUAUUGGACAAUGGGCGCAAGCCUGAUCCAGCCAUGCCGCGCGGGUGAUGAAGGCCCUAGGGUUGUAAAGCCCUUUCGGCGGGGAAGAUAAUGACGGUACCCGCAGAAGAAGCCCCGGCUAACUUCGUGCCAGCAGCCGCGGUAA